This 951-nucleotide ribosomal RNA is filed under the name Triticum aestivum (bread wheat). RNAcentral describes it as "partial small subunit ribosomal RNA". Lineage: Eukaryota; Viridiplantae; Streptophyta; Magnoliopsida; Poales; Poaceae. The record is from RNAcentral.
AUGCCGCCGGGGACCUCUCCGCCGUCGACGGAGGCGUGGACCUGGGAGAACGCCGUCGCCGGAGCGACCGCCGGCUUCGCCACCGNNNNNNNNNNNNNNNNNNNNNNNNNNNNNNNNNNNNNGUGUUUAGUGAGCGGCGGGAGAGGGUUGUCCGACUUGCCGCCGUACAGGAACACGGGACACGCUGUGUACACCAUCGCACGAUCUGAGGGCCUGAGGGGACUUUAUGCCGGCUUUUAUCCUGCAGUCCUGGGAUCAACCGUUUCUUGGGGGCUAUAUUUCUUUUUUUACAACAGAGCUAAACAAAGAUACUUACAGGAGAAGGAUGUUCAGCUCCGUCCAUUCGACCAUCUUGCCUCAGCUGCAGAAGCAGGUGCUUUGGUUUGCCUGUUUACAAAUCCCAUAUGGCUGGUGAAAACACGGAUGCAACUACAAACACCCGGGCAUACUUCGUCUUAUUCUGGAUUUUCGGAUGCUUUGAGAACUAUUCGGAAAGAGGAGGGAUGGCGAGCACUUUAUAGAGGGAUCGGACCUGGACUUUUGCUGGUCACCCAUGGCGCGAUACAAUUCACUGCCUAUGAGGAACUUCGCAAGGCUAUGAUAUCUGCGAAAAGUAAACAAACAAGGGGAGAUGACAAAGGCAGCGAGGAUUUAUUGAACUCCGUUGAUUAUGCGGCACUUGGCGCUGGUUCAAAAUUAUCUGCUAUUCUGCUUACUUAUCCUUAUCAGGUUAUCCGAGCCCGCUUACAGCAACGACCUGGUAGUGAUGGUAUCCCAAAGUACUCAGAUAGUUGGCAUGUAGUGAAGGAAACUGCGAGGUACGAAGGUGUCCGGGGUUUUUACAGGGGCAUCACGUCCAACCUGUUGAAGAACCUUCCAGCGGCUUCUGUGACGUUUGUGGUGUAUGAAAAUGUCAUCAAACUAUUCAGAGCAACCAAGGAGAAGACGUAG